RNAcentral lists this transfer RNA (73 nucleotides) under Kribbella qitaiheensis. RNAcentral describes it as "tRNA-Met". It matches the Rfam family "tRNA". Rfam says of the family: Transfer RNA (tRNA) molecules are approximately 80 nucleotides in length. Their secondary structure includes four short double-helical elements and three loops (D, anti-codon, and T loops). Further hydrogen bonds mediate the characteristic L-shaped molecular structure. tRNAs have two regions of fundamental functional importance: the anti-codon, which is responsible for specific mRNA codon recognition, and the 3' end, to which the tRNAs corresponding amino acid is attached (by aminoacyl-tRNA synthetases). tRNAs cope with the degeneracy of the genetic code in two manners: having more than one tRNA (with a specific anti-codon) for a particular amino acid; and 'wobble' base-pairing, i.e. permitting non-standard base-pairing at the 3rd anti-codon position. Lineage: Bacteria; Bacillati; Actinomycetota; Actinomycetes; Propionibacteriales; Kribbellaceae. The record is from RNAcentral.
GCCAGGGUGGCGCAGUCGGUAGCGCGCACCCCUCAUAAGGGUGAGGCCGCCGGUUCGACCCCGGCCCCUGGUA